Molecule: ribosomal RNA, 488 nt
Filed under: Trichosporon sp. KBS0817F
Lineage: Eukaryota; Fungi; Basidiomycota; Tremellomycetes; Trichosporonales; Trichosporonaceae
Description: eukaryotic LSU rRNA
Rfam family: 5.8S ribosomal RNA (bases 126-279)
Source: RNAcentral
AUCAUUAGUGAAUUGCUCUUUGAGCGUUAAACUAUAUCCAUCUACACCUGUGAACUGUUGAUUGACUUCGGUCAAUUACUUUUACAAACAUUGUGUAAUGAACGUCAUGUUAUUAUAACAAAAAUAACUUUCAACAACGGAUCUCUUGGCUCUCGCAUCGAUGAAGAACGCAGCGAAAUGCGAUAAGUAAUGUGAAUUGCAGAAUUCAGUGAAUCAUCGAAUCUUUGAACGCAACUUGCGCUCUCUGGUAUUCCGGAGAGCAUGCCUGUUUGAGUAUCAUGAAAUCUCAACCAUUAGGGUUUCUUAAUGGCUUGGAUUUGGGCGCUGCCACUUGCCUGGCUCGCCUUAAAAGAGUUAGCGUAUUAACUUGUCGAUCUGGCGUAAUAAGUUUCGCUGGUGUAGACUUGAGAAGUGCGCUUCUAAUCGUCUUCGGACAAUUCUUGAACUCUGGUCUCAAAUCAGGUAGGACUACCCGCUGAACUUAAGCA